GAUGAACGCUAGGGGCAUGCUUAACACAUGCAAGUCGAACGAUUUUUUUUUUUCGUAAGAAAAAAAAGGAAAGUGGCGGACGGGUGAGUAACGCGUAAGAACCUGCCCUUAGGAGGGGGAUAACAACUGGAAACGGUUGCUAAUACCCCAUAUGCUGAGGAGUAAAACGGUAACAACCGCCUAAGAAUGGGCUUGCGUCUGAUUAGCUUGUUGGUAAGGUAAAAGCUUACCAAGGCGACGAUCAGUAGUUGGUCUGAGAGGAUGAUCAGCCACACUGGGACUGAGACACGGCCCAGACUUCUACGGAAGGCAGCAGUGAGGAAUUUUCCGCAAUGGGCGAAAGCCUGACGGAGCAAUGCCGUGUGGAGGAAGAAGGCCUACGGGUUGUAAUCUCCUUUUCUCGGAAAAGAAAAUUUGACGGUAUCUGAAGAAUAAGCAUCGGCUAACUUCCGUGCCAGCAGCCGCCGUAAUAC
RNAcentral lists this ribosomal RNA (473 nucleotides) under uncultured bacterium. Its description in RNAcentral is "partial 16S ribosomal RNA". It matches the Rfam family "Bacterial small subunit ribosomal RNA", at positions 28 to 526 of the family's 1533-position model. The record is from RNAcentral.